GCUCGUGUCGUGAGAUGUUGGGUUAAGUCCCGCAACGAGCGCAACCCUUGAUCUUAGUUGCCAGCAUUCAGUUGGGCACUCUAAGGUGACUGCCGGUGACAAACCGGAGGAAGGUGGGGAUGACGUCAAAUCAUCAUGCCCCUUAUGACCUGGGCUACACACGUGCUACAAUGGACAGAACAAAGGGCUGCAAGACCGCAAGGUUUAGCCAAUCCCAUAAAUCUGUUCUCAGUUCGGAUCGCAGUCUGCAACUCGACUGCGUGAAGCUGGAAUCGCUAGUAAUCGCGGAUCAGCAUGCCGCGGUGAAUACGUUCCCGGGCCUUGUACACACCGCCCGUCACACCACGAGAGUUUGCAACACCCGAAGUCGGUGAGGUAACCUUUAUGGAGCCAGCCGCCGAAGGUGGGGCAGA
This 413-nucleotide ribosomal RNA is filed under the name Bacillus sp. (in: firmicutes). RNAcentral's name for it is "bacterial SSU rRNA". It matches the Rfam family "Bacterial small subunit ribosomal RNA", at positions 1058 to 1471 of the family's 1533-position model. The record is from RNAcentral. Lineage: Bacteria; Bacillati; Bacillota; Bacilli; Caryophanales; Bacillaceae.